CGGGGGGCAGCAGUGGGGAAUAUUGGGCAAUGGAGGAAACUCUGACCCAGCGACGCCGCGUGAGGGAUGAAGGCCUUCGGGUUGUAAACCUCUUUCAGCAGGGAAGAAGCGAAAGUGACGGUACCUGCAGAAGAAGCACCGGCUAACUAUGUGCCAGCAGCCGCGGUAAUACAUAGGGUGCAAGCGUUGUCCGGAAUUAUUGGGCGUAAAGAGCUCGUAGGUGGUUAGUUACGUCGGAUGUGAAAAUCUAGGGCUCAACCCUAGACCUGCAUCCGAUACGGGCUAGCUUGAGUUUGGUAGGGGAGACUGGAAUUCCUGGUGUAGCGGUGGAAUGCGCAGAUAUCAGGAGGAACACCAAUGGCGAAGGCAGGUCUCUGGGCCAAUACUGACACUGAGGAGCGAAAGUGUGGGGAGCGAACAGGAUUAGAUACCCGAGU
Molecule: ribosomal RNA, 437 nt
Filed under: uncultured Actinomycetales bacterium
Lineage: Bacteria; Bacillati; Actinomycetota; Actinomycetes; Actinomycetales
Description: bacterial SSU rRNA
Rfam family: Bacterial small subunit ribosomal RNA
Source: RNAcentral